RNAcentral lists this unclassified non-coding RNA (290 nucleotides) under Hevea brasiliensis (rubber tree). The record is from RNAcentral. Lineage: Eukaryota; Viridiplantae; Streptophyta; Magnoliopsida; Malpighiales; Euphorbiaceae.
GCAACUGAUUUUUGGGAACCGUGUCCUACAACUGUAAUAAACAGUAGUUAAUUAAAAACUAGAUUAGGAUUACAUCAGUCAAAAACCAAAGGAUUUCUUUCUUGUCACUCAUUUUUUACAAUGAUCUUUGAUUCAUAAAACGGCCGAUUUAAAAAUGGGAAAAAUUACAAUAUAAAGAGCUAGCUAGCCUGAAGAGAUCUAUAGUAAAUACCGUAGGGGAAGAAGAAUCUGAAAAAGCAAUAGAUGGAUGAAGAAAAUGAAUUAACCUCGAGAAAACGCGGCCGCAAUCG